AGUGAACGCUGGCGGCAGGCCUAACACAUGCCAGUCGAACGGCAGCACAGUAAUAGCUUGCUCUUACGGGUGGCGAGUGGCGGACGGGUGAGGAAUACAUCGGAAUCUACUUUUUCGUGGGGGAUAACGUAGGGAAACUUACGCUAAUACCGCAUACGACCUACGGGUGAAAGCAGCGGAUCUUCCGCCAUUGCGCGAUUGAAUGAGCCGGUGUCGGAUUAGCUAGUUGGCGGGGUAAAGGCCCACCAAGGCGACGAUCCGUAGCUGGUCUGAGAGGAUGAUCAGCCACACUGGAACUGAGACACGGUCCAGACUCCUACGGGAGGCAGCAGUGGGGAAUAUGGGACAAGGGGCGCAAGCCUGAUCCAGCCAUACCGCGUGGGUGAAGAAGGCCUUCGGGUUGUAAAGCCCUUUUGUUGGGAAAGAAAAGCAGCAGGUUAAUACCCCGCUGUUCUGACGGUACCCAAAGAAUAAGCACCGGCUAACUUCG
This 490-nucleotide ribosomal RNA is filed under the name uncultured bacterium. RNAcentral's name for it is "partial 16S ribosomal RNA". It matches the Rfam family "Bacterial small subunit ribosomal RNA", at positions 29 to 505 of the family's 1533-position model. The record is from RNAcentral.